RNAcentral lists this ribosomal RNA (228 nucleotides) under Lacisediminihabitans profunda. RNAcentral's name for it is "Bacterial small subunit ribosomal RNA". It matches the Rfam family "Bacterial small subunit ribosomal RNA", at positions 511 to 738 of the family's 1533-position model. The record is from Rfam by way of RNAcentral. Lineage: Bacteria; Bacillati; Actinomycetota; Actinomycetes; Micrococcales; Microbacteriaceae.
GCAGCCGCGGUAAUACGUAGGUGGCAAGCGUUAUCCGGAUUUAUUGGGCGUAAAGCGAGCGCAGGCGGUUUUUUAAGUCUGAUGUGAAAGCCUUCGGCUCAACCGAAGAAGUGCAUCGGAAGCUGGGAAACUUGAGUGCAGAAGAGGACAGUGGAACUCCAUGUGUAGCGGUGAAAUGCGUAGAUAUAUGGAAGAACACCAGUGGCGAAGGCGGCUGUCUGGUCUGUA